RNA transcript from Helianthus annuus (common sunflower), 4914 nucleotides. RefSeq lists it as uncharacterized. NCBI's taxonomy places the organism in Eukaryota, Viridiplantae, Streptophyta, Magnoliopsida, Asterales, Asteraceae. The transcript is spliced from 4 exons. The record is from RefSeq and is a predicted model, not a curated record.
CUUCUUCUUAUGUAUGUUUCUUUUAUACACUCUCUCUCAAUUAUUGUUCCUUCUUUCAAAUCAAAACCCUAACGCCGAAUCGCCUCCUCAGGAUCUCAAUCAUCAAUCCUUUCAUCUGGUUAUCCUUCUUCUCUGCACCAUCUUAUCACAAACCCUAACCUCGAUCAAACUUUUUCAUGUAUUGGAGAAACACUAAUCAAACUAUUCAUCUUCACUCUGUUUAUACCUUAAUCCAAUGAUUUCUUCAAUCGGUAGCUUUGUUGGGGUCUCUAAGUGGCUGCUGUCAUAUCUCUUCGCCGACGUCCUCUGUUCAUAUAUCUCACCGUUUAAUCAGUUAGGGUUUGGUGGUGGAUCGAAUUUUUAAGUGAGUUAUGGUUUGGGGUCGGAUAUUGGUGACAACAAGGAAGGUAAGAAUUUGACAAGUAGAUCAUUAAUAGAUGAUGUGCUGAAGAAAGUUAGGACCUCGAAACCCUUAUAUAUAUAUAGACUAGAAGAUGUACCCAUGUUUCAGUUGCAAAUCCUAACGUAUUGGCUGUUAUUACUGCUGCUACAAAGGAGUCUCAGGUCUGAUCAUUCACUCUACAUUGCUUGGAGGCAAAAAAAAAAGGUAUGCUCAUCAAUUCAAAUCCAGUUAAUAAUGAGGUUUAAAUUUGCUAGCUGAGUAAUUAUAAGCUAAUAAGCAUAAACUUAAAAAGCUAAACCAAACACAAGUUAAGCUUAUUUUAUAUAAAAAAAAAACCCCUUAAAAAGCUAUAAGAUUUGUUAAAAAAGCUAGGCCAAACAUCCCCUAAACCCAGAAACCUUGAUUUAAAAAAAAAACAUUAGGGUUUAGGAAGUGUUUUGUUCAGUGAUAAAGUGAUUGAUUCAGCAAGCGAAGAGUUUAGUGGUUUGUAAAAAUGGAGAGAACUCCAGCAGCUUGUGCCAUGAAUUGGAGCAUUCAGCUAUGAAAAAGCCCUAUGCUCCAACAACUCUGGUGAAUUAGGAUUCUUUAAAUAUUCUUACGUUUUUUGAUGAUUUAUUGAUGAUGAUUAGCUACAUGACAGAGCGGAUUAGAGGAUGCCUAUUAUCUAUGUGAAGCUAUCACGUUACCAGCAAGGAAGGAACUUCAUUUCCCUGAUUUCUCUGUGCUAUGUCAGCAAGCUAAAAGGGUAUUCUUGUCUAUUCACAUGCAAUGUCUGGGUGGGUGUUUGUGAUAAUCACCUAUCAACGUAAUUCCACUGGCUUAGCUUUCUCUUUAGCUGGUAAACAAUCCGAAUGGAGAUAUAUCUCUUGCAAUCCCCCUAUCCUUGAUCUACACUUUUUCAAGGGAAAAAUAUCUACACUUUGACGAGUAAAGCAAGAAAGUGGGUAAUUCUUCAUCUGGUAGUUCAAGUAAAUGCAUGCGAAGAUGAAAAGAACAGUAAACAUAUUUGUUGUUAUUUGAUGAUCGAUUAUUGUAUGGAUUAGUAUUGUUUAAAUAUUCUUACGGUUUUUUUUUUUGUUUUUUUUUUUUGAUGAUUUAUUAAUGAUGAUUAGCUACAUGACAGAGCGAAAUAGAGGAUGCCUAUUAGCUAUGUGAAGCUAUCACGUUACCAAACCAACAUCAACUUAUGACAAAACAUUUUUUUUAUUUUUUUUUAUUUUCUACUAAUUUGAUAAUUGAUGGUUUGCAGGUGGGGAAGAAGAACAAGUGUAGUUUUCGGCUGGUUACAGUUGAGGAUGGACUUUACUCACUCGAAUACAAUCCAUCAAUGUCUACGCUUCAAGCGUUCUCUAUUUGCGUAGCGGUUGUAAGUAGCCAUAAGUUGACUCACAUCUUUCAAGUCAAUUAUGUUCGAGAGUCGAAAGAACUGUGUCUAAAAACAUACGAUCACCAACGAGUGAUAAGAAUGUUAAAAUUCGCGAGGAGUUUGUUUCGAAACCACCAGCAUCACCUGUUGGUAGGGUAUAAAUUUAGAUGUUAUAUUAGUUUAGAUGCCAUUUAUAUUUUUGAGAUGGCAAUGGAUUCAAAACAAUCACUAUGCGGUUAGGAGUGGAUGUGAUUGUUUUUAGCCGUACAUAUUGGAACAGGUAAUGUUUAAUGUUGUUUGAUUCUUUAUUUGAGUUCUUGCAAUUGAGUCAAUUGAUGAUCUUGCCCUUAGUGUUGUUUUAUAUUACCGUUAUGUGGAUAAGCAACCCAAAGUGUUGGCUGUAUCAACAAUGGAUACUCAUUCAUUAUCAUAUUAAUUUCACUGGACUAAAUGAUUGAAAGAUUAUGACUUUAGAAGAAAAACGUGUAGGUCUGAGUGAAUAUUGAACUGUGAUUGAUUGAGGGUGUAUGUGUUUUUUAUAGGUGGUCUGAUCAUUGGCCGAUAACGCCCGUUAAGGGCUGCUUGACUCUGUUUCAGACUGUAUGUAGCUUCCCACCUGGUUACCACAUGUUAAGUUUUACCUUAACAUGUUUUUGUUAAUCUGAUAAGGGAUAUUUAAGUCUUGAUGAAUUGUUCCAGGUCUUUCUUUGGAGGUUCUUUUAUGCAUCUUUGGCAGUCUUUGACUUAUGAUAUUCGACUAUUGCAGGGCAAUUGGUCACCAAAAGUAUAAGAUGAUGGCCAGGUCACUAGCGAUAUUUCUAUACGCCUUGCAGAAACUGUUGAAGGUAAGAUUCUUAUUCAAUCACGGAUGAACGUGUGUUUGUAAGAACCUUUAUAUCAUGGCGCUUUGUGUGUUUGUAAGAUAAACCACCCUUUUCGUUAAUUUGGAUGGUAGACGACGAAGAAUACCGCUCCCGUAGGCCAAAUCAUGCAAUAAGGAAAAAGACUAAUCUCCUGGUAAUCAAUUAUUCAGUCACUUAAUUUAGUUUAAAUCGGAGUAGUUAGAAUUUGUUCAGAGAUUGAACUUACAUCUGGUAUAAUUUGGAAUUUAGUGUUGAGAGGGUAUAGUUUUGUCGUCAUAUUAAAUAUAGUACACCGGAUCUAAUGUCCAUGAAAGUAUGAGCACUUUUCUUCGGAGUGAUGUUAUCUAUUUGGAUUCAGAUUUCAAAUGUGUGAAUUUGCUUUUUAUUUGAGUUAAAAAGGAAAGCAGAGAAAACUUCCCCACGCCGUGCCAUUAGUUUGAUUUGGUUGAUUUGGUGAAACUGAUUGUGAGCAGCAGUCGGUUAGGGUUGAAGGGGGUGUUGAUGGUCGAUUAUGGGUACAAGGAGGAGUGGUUCAACGCUGCUGGUUGUGGUGGUUUCGCAGCGGUGAAGAUGAGUGGAGGCGGUGGUUGGCUGCACGGAUCUGGUAGUAGAUGGGUUAUAGGUGGGUGUGGUAUUCGUGCCAUUAGUAGAAGAGAUUUAAAAACAAAACUGAUGAUGCAACAAUAUCUUUACGAGAUUUGAUUAAAAUGUGAUUUACCAAGUGGAAUUCCCAUGUCGAAGGUAACAAGUCUUGCUUAAAACUUUUAAUUUUCUUAGUUUUUUGUUAAGGGCAUUUGUAUAAUUGUAUCUAGAUAUUGUAUUUUUUAGUUUUGAUCGGUCGAUUUCAAUAUUUGUCAUGUAAAUAUUUUUCACCUGGCAUCUAUAGUUAAUUCCCUAUGCUAUUUGUCACACUUUUCCUUAUUAAUGUUUAUUUCUCUCGCAACCAAUAUGUACAGUUAAUAGCGUAAUCAUUUUAUGUUGUAAAUUUUAAUUGGCCACUAAAAGUUCAAUACACAAGUUCAGAGUUAUAGUUAUUUUAAAUUUUGCAUCGUUAUUAUCUCAUGUUGUCUUCCCUUUUAAAUUUGGACCAAUAAAUUGUUCGUGACUUUUGACUUUUUUAACAUUGGCUUGCAGAUCAUCUUCUUUAAGAUUUGACAUACCAAUGGCUUUAUCAACAAAAAAAUUAUUGUUCUUCUAGGUUGUAUUAAGUACAAAAUGCACAAGGAAUAUCCCCAAAAAAGCUUCAAAAAAAAUAAUCUUCAAAGCAAUAAAUAAUAGUUCAUCGCCGUUCAGAACUGAGAAAGUUAUUGAUUAUGUGGGAUUUGUUUUAAAGUCGCCAGAUGGAGGACCACCUAUUCUUCCUGAAUUCAUCGAUGCGGUAACACUCAUGCUCUGUUUUUCUUAUAGCGUCUUGUGUUUUUUAAUUUAGGUUUUUUCUGGGGUCCUAUAUGAUAACCGGGAUACUUUGUAUGGGUAUUUUUAAAUUUUGAUGGAAAUACUUGAUACAUGAAUGGUGGUGAUAUGGGGAUCUAGAUCUGCAUGAACAUUAGUUGAUUCCCUUAGAAACAAAAUGGACCAAUACAAUUAACAUUCUGAUGGUUUUUAUCUCUAACAUAACAUUAUGGGUCAAAUUGGGUAGUAUGUAGUUUUAUUAACGGGGCAUACUUGGUUGACAAAAAUAGUAAAGUAAAUCUUAGGAUGGGCGAAAGUGAACACUUCUUUUACCACCACCAUCCACCUCUACCUUUACCUAGCUACCAAAACAACAACUAUAGUGGUUGACCUGUUGUGACCCAACCCAGGGCCUGUAUUAAAUUCUAAUUUAAUUUUUAUUUUUUGUGUUUUUUAAAUAACAUGGGCAUGGAGUUGGAUUUGGCUUACGGGUUAACGUCUAGGCCAUGACACGACCCAACACAUCCCUCUAUAUUAUUUUGGGCUUGGACUGGAUUCAAGAUAAUGCAGCAGGAUUAAAUUGUGAAUUGUGCUUGAAGGUUAAAAGUUGAAGGCCCGAAGGGUUGUUGAUAAAGUCUUGAAGGCCUGUAUUUGUCCGUGGUCAACCAUAUGUCUAAAAGACAACCAAUGUGGUCUACAAGGAAUUUUUUACUGAAAUUUUAGUGAUUUGUUAUUUCUUUCUUCCGGCAUUUGAAUAGUUUUCUGUUUUUUUCUUCCAAUGUAUGUAUUUGUACACAACAUUUCAUUUCAAAGUAAAAAAUAUGGUUUUGGUUGAAGCCCGCGUAUUACGCGGGCAUUAACCUAGUUUAAUAUAUACAUAUCUUUUCUAA